RNAcentral lists this long non-coding RNA (2117 nucleotides) under Olea europaea subsp. europaea. The record is from RNAcentral. Lineage: Eukaryota; Viridiplantae; Streptophyta; Magnoliopsida; Lamiales; Oleaceae.
UAUUGUCACGCUUUUCGUAUUUCCUUAACUUUCGAUUGCACUCUCUUUCUUUACCCACUCACUCACACACAUGCACGCAUUUAUUAUUUUCAGUAAAAAAUUGAAUAAGAAUUUGAUCAUUAUAAAAAAUUUCUCACUCUGUAACUCAUCUGAAAAUGGGCACUGGCGCAUCGAGAAAUCUCGAUAGUAGGUCGACAGCUCCCAUGGCAGUGAAGAGAGAGAUCAAGCCGGUGGUCAACUCUAUGUUUCUCUCAGAAUGGAAAAUUAUAAGCUCAAUGGUGAUAUCAUAUCCCAGGUGAUAUCAUAUCCCAUGUUUAUGGCUCGGUAUCACUCGUCGGCUCCUGGGACUCCUCUAAAGCCGUAAGUUUGUGUCAUAUUUCCCAAUUUUUCUUUGUAGUUUUAGUACUUCAAUUUAUUGGAAAAGUUAGAGUACAAUGAUUUUUUCAGUUUUGUAUAAGAUUGUGCAUUUUUAUUAAUAGAUGUUUCUGGGUUUAAAAUUAAGAACACUUUGCUGGCCUCAUUUAUUUUAUUACAAAUCAAUCAAUCACUCAACUUUUCUUUGUGUUUCCUACUUUAUCUUCUCAAAGUAAAAGAAUUCUAACAGAAUUGUUCCGGCGAAUCCAGCUAUGGCGGCCGCUUUAGCUCGUCACCACCUAGAUCCGCCUCUAGUUGGAUAGCAUAAAAAUGAUGAGGAUCCUUAGCCUGCAUCUGCUUCAUAUGUAGACCCCCACUUCCAAGGGUCCUUCGUUGGCUGCUGCUCAUGCAAUUUUGGCAAUCAAUCUUUGUGAAAUCAAUGUUAAUCCAAGAAGCUCGCUGUAUGAACCUUACCGCAUCCUCCGCGAAGCAUAUAUCAAUAUGUGAGUGAAAGGAAGACGUGAUAGAUCCGCAUAACAAAAACAAGAACUAGUCCUCUGUCCAGGCUGGUCAUGGGUUGUCAAGAUGUACAUAAACCGUGACAUUUGUAAUAGAAUUAGUUAUUAAUAAGCCAUUGAGGAGCCACCAUCUGUCAUCCUCUCAAAAUGACCAAAUUACCUUUAAGCAUUGGAGGAAAAUCUAUAAAUACCCCCAUUUGAAGAGAAAUGCAUGCAAUUUAAACAUCUCAGUCUCAAAUAGUCAUUUAUCUCUAGCUCCAGUUUAAGCAUCAAAACCAGUGGAAUUUAUUGGUGGAAGCUGUAGCUAGAUGAGAGGAUUUGUCGAUCAAAUUUCUAUCAUCAACAAAUUGACGUCGUCUAUAGGAAAUUCUGAACAAAGAAAACACAAAUUUCUCUAUCGAAAUUCAGAAAACAUUAGGAUCUGAAAGAUGAGUAAAAAGAUUUGGAAGUAAUCUAGGCAUUAAAUGUCGAAAUAGAGGAGAUUUAGUCAAAAGCGAUGCUAAUCCAAAGAGGAAGUGGGAGAAAAUGAAGGCAGGAUCUCAGGCGGAUAUUUCUCCUAUUAAACUCUAUCAUUAGCAGAAAGAAAUGCAUACUGCAGAAGCGAUCUAUGAGAUGGCAGAUAACUUAAAGGUAUUUGGCAGUGAAAAAUGCAUAUCCUCACGCAAAGUAUGAGAAUCCAAGUUGAAGUUGGCAACACUAAGGCUAGUAGAAAAAUCAGAGUUUGAUGCCAGUUUUGUUGCAAAGAACAAUAGCGAUUUCCAGAUGUCAAGGAGUUAUGGUGUUGCUCUAGCAGAAAGGUGGAAAAAAUGGCAAAGUAGCAAGUCCUGUAUAAAUGGAUUGCUGAACAAGGUAAACUUGAAUGCCUGAAAGUGUAACCUUGAAGGAAACGAAUGGUGGGGAACUGUAGCAGUUCCUAUGAUGUAAGUACGUAGUAGAGACCUGAAUACCAAUCUGCGAUAGAGCAAAUAUGAAAAGAAGUGUGUGAUGUAUUAGUUUUCAACUAAUUCAACCAGUGAUUAGCUUUCUCAUCAACAAGUAGGCUUCGAAAUAAAACAGCUUGAUACGAGGUUAAAUAGUAUCAAGCAAAGGGAAGGAAAGUCGCUUAAGAGUUACUAUCGUUCUCACAAGGAAUAAGGUCUAAUAUCUAGUUCAAUAACUUUUAUCAAAUUCAAAGUGUAGUGACAUCAAAAGAGUUGUGAUAUGUUUGUUAUUUAUUCUAAUUCUUCUCUAAAAAAGUGAUUAAAU